This 505-nucleotide ribosomal RNA is filed under the name uncultured bacterium. RNAcentral describes it as "partial 16S ribosomal RNA". It matches the Rfam family "Bacterial small subunit ribosomal RNA", at positions 30 to 523 of the family's 1533-position model. The record is from RNAcentral.
AUUGAACGCUGGCGGCAUGCCCUACACAUGCAAGUCGAACGGCAGCACGGGUGCUUGCACCUGGUGGCGAGUGGCGAACGGGAGAGGAAUACAUCGGAACGUACCUUAUCGAGGGGGAUAACAAAUUGAAAAAAUUGCUAAUACCGCAUAAUACUCUGAGGAGGAAAGCGGGGGAUUCGGAAGAACCUCGUGCAAUUAGUGCGGCCGGUGGCUGAUUAGCUAGUUGGUGAGGUAAAGGGCCACCAAGGCAACGAUCAGUAGCAGGUCUGAGAGGAUGAUCUGCCACACUGGAACUGAGAAACGGUCCAGACUCCUACGGGAGGCAGCAGUGGGGAAUUUUGGACAAUGGACGAAAGUCUGAUCCAGCAAUGCCGCGUGAGUGAAGAAGGCCUUCGGGUUGUAAAGCUCUUUUGUCAGUGAAGAAAACUUUAGUAAUAACACUAUUAAAGCAUGACGGUAACUGAAGAAUAAGGACCGGCUAACUACGUGCCAGCCGCCGCGGUAA